CCUACGGGAGGCAGCAGUGAGGAAUAUUGGUCAAUGGACGAGAGUCUGAACCAGCCAAGUAGCGUGAAGGAUGACUGCCCUAUGGGUGGUAAACUUCUUUUAUAUGGGAAUAAAAUGUUCCACGUGUGGGAUUUUGUAUGUACCAUAUGAAUAAGGAUCGGCUAACUCCGUGCCAGCAGCCGCGGUAAUACGGAGGGUCCGAGCGUUAUCCGGAUUUAUUGGGUUUAAAGGGAGCGUAGGUGGAUUGUUAAGUCAGUUGUGAAAGUUUGCGGCUCAACCGUAAAAUUGCAGUUGAAACUGGCAGUCUUGAGUACAGUAGAGGUAGGCGGAAUUCGUGGUGUAGCGGUGAAAUGCGUAGAUAUCACGAAGAACUCCGAUUGCGAAGGCAGCUCACUGGACUGCAACUGACACUGAGGCUCGAAAGUGUGGGUAUCAAACAGGAUUAGAUACCCGAGUAGUC
RNAcentral lists this ribosomal RNA (460 nucleotides) under uncultured bacterium. RNAcentral describes it as "partial 16S ribosomal RNA". It matches the Rfam family "Bacterial small subunit ribosomal RNA", at positions 338 to 795 of the family's 1533-position model. The record is from RNAcentral.